This 56-nucleotide non-coding RNA is filed under the name unclassified sequences. Its description in RNAcentral is "L31-Actinobacteria ribosomal protein leader". It matches the Rfam family "L31-Actinobacteria ribosomal protein leader". The record is from RNAcentral.
GCGGUACCGGUUCACGCCCGGGCGUGGCAUUACACGCCCGCGGCGACCCGGCGACC